Hypanus sabinus (Atlantic stingray) is the source of this 2413-nucleotide long non-coding RNA. RefSeq lists it as uncharacterized. The record is from RefSeq and is a predicted model, not a curated record. Lineage: Eukaryota; Metazoa; Chordata; Chondrichthyes; Myliobatiformes; Dasyatidae. The transcript has 7 exons.
CAGGAAGCCACCACAGUACUACGAAAAUGCAAAAGAUAAGUAAGAUAAUUGUACAAUUUGAUGGCAAGUUUGGAAGCUCUGCAGGUUACUGCUUUUCAAGGGUUCCUUUUUCGUGUUGAGGGUCUCUGCCUUCCAUCCCCUUUCACGAACAAUAUUAAAGCAACAGUGGAAUCAAUUAAUCAAAGUACGUUCCUGUAAGUUCUACUCGGAAACCUCAAAUUAUCAACGCUGAAUCAAAACAUUGAAGUAAUCCUUGCUAAAGGACAGAACUCAACAAAAUAAUCUGUGAUAGAGCCAGUCACCAACUCUACUCAUGGCGUUCAACUAUGAAACAAGAGAAAAUCUGCAGAUGCUGGAAAUCCAAGCUACAUUUACAAAAUGCUGGAAGGGGGAGGAGACAAGAGGAAGGUGAAGGACAGAUACUGCGUGCAUAUAUAAAUUCCCCAUAAGUGUAACAAUGUAUUCACCUCAACCACUCCCUGUGUGGACGAAUUCAACAUUCUCAGCACUCCCUUGGUCAGAGAGACCAUUCUGCAUUGGAUAGAAUCUUACAGACCCUUUGAGUUCCUCCAGGAUAGGAGGUCCCAACCUGGGCUCCACAGAUCCGUUUCUAAAUUGUAUUGGUCCAUGCAUAAAGAAGAUUGGGAACUCUACUCCAGGACCUUCUAUGUUGCUACGCUUCCUGCUUCAGAAAGAAUGACACCAUGAAAAGGAUGUAACUGUGCAGGAUACGGAAGAACGAUUGGUGCUGUUCUUCACGGGAUUUCAAAUAGGAAGUCUGGCGGGAACAGAGAGGAACCAUUGCAUAUCCCAUGUCUCACGAUGAUCCUUUGGUCUCAGUAUCUGAAGAUGACAGGCAGUCUGCCUUCAAGAGAGUGAAUCCAAGAAAAGUAUCUGGUCUGAACGGAGUACUGAAGACCUGGACUGACCAACUGGCUGUUGCAUUCACAGAAAUCUUCUACCUCUUGCUCCGGCAGUGUGCAGUGCCCACCUGCUUCAAGCAGGCUUCAAUCGUAUCGAUGUCCAAGAAGAACAUGAUAAUGUCUAAAUGACUAUUGCCCAGUGGCACUUACAGACACAAUGAUGAAAUGUUUUGAGAGGCUGGUGUUGAAGCAUAUCAGCUCGUGUCUGAGUGACGACUUGGAUCUAAUUCGCCUACCGAAGCAACAGGUCUACAGCAGAUGCUAUCUCUUUGGGUCUUCACGCAACACUGGAACAUCAUUCAUUCAUUAGGAUGCUCUUUAUUGAUUACAGCUCAGCAUUUAGCACAAUCACCCCCUCAAAACUGAUCAAUAACCUUGAAGACCUGGGCCUCAAUACCCUGUGCAAAUGGAUCCUGGAUUUCCUCACUUGUAGACCUCAGUCAGUGUGGAUUGGCAAAGAAAGCCUCCACCACAGUCUCCAUCAGCACAGGAACACCACAGAGAUGUGUACUUCACCCUCCUUGCUCUACGUGCUUUACACCUAAGACUGUGUGGCUAUGUACAGCUCUAACACCGAAUACAAGUUUGCUGAUGAUACCACUGCUGUGGGCUGUAUCAAAGGUGGUGAUGAAUCAGCAUACAGGAGGGAGCUUGUAAAUUUGGCUGAGUGGUCAAGUAGCAACAACCUCUCAUUCAAUGUCAAUAAGACCAAGGAAAUGAGUGUAGACUGCAGGAGAGGGAAACUAGAGGUCCAUGAACCAGUAAUCAUUGGAGGAUCAGAGCUGGAGAGGGUCAGUAACUUUAAAUUCCUGGGUGUCACUAUCUUAGAGGACCUGUCCUGGACCCAUCAUGUAAAUGUCAUUGGAAGGAGAGCAUGAGCCUUUACUUCCUCAGGAAUCUGCGGAGAAUCAGCACGUCAUCAAAAGCCUUGGCAAACUUCUACGGAUGUGUGCUGACUGGCUGAAUUACAGCCUGGUAUGGGCACACCAAUGCUUUUUGAGUUGAAAAUCCUACAAAAGGUACUGGAUUCUCUCAGUGUAUCAUGGGUAAAACCCUCCCAACCAUUGAGCACAUCUACAUGAAACAUUGCCGUAGAAAAGCAGCAUCCAUCAUCGAAGACCCUGAACACCCAGGCCACGCCCUUUUCUUGUUGCUGCUAUCAGGUAGAUGAUACAAGAGCCUCAGGACUCGCACCACCGGGUUCAAGAACAGUUACUACCCUUCAACUAUCAGGCUCAUGAGGAAAGUGGAAAACUACACAUAUAAGGAUUUUUUUAAAUCUUAUUCAUGCUCAUUAUUUAUUGUUAUUUAUUUAUUAUCUGCAUUUGCACGGUUUGUUUACAGUUUACAGUUCCUGAUGCUUACAGUUUACAGAUCCUGUUUAUAAUUACCGUUCUAUAGAUUUGCUGAGUAUACCCACAGGAAAAGAACCUCAGGGUUGUAUGUGGUGACAUGCAUGUACUCCGAUAAUAAACUUUACUUUGAACUUU